RNAcentral lists this ribosomal RNA (1041 nucleotides) under Triticum aestivum (bread wheat). RNAcentral describes it as "partial small subunit ribosomal RNA". Lineage: Eukaryota; Viridiplantae; Streptophyta; Magnoliopsida; Poales; Poaceae. The record is from RNAcentral.
AUGGGCGAGGACAAGAAGGAGAAGCCGGGCAAGGCAGACGGCGCCGACCACAACAAGGACGCCGCGGCGCCGCCCGAGCCCAUCGUGCUCAAGGUCGACUUGCAUUGCGCCGGCUGCGCCACCAAGGUUAAGCGGGCCAUCAAGAACGCCCCUGGCGUGGAGUCGGUUAAGACUGACACGGCGGCCAACAAGGUGGUCGUCACCGGCGCGGUGGACGCGGCGGAGAUCAAACAGCGCAUCGAGGCCAGGACCAAGAAGCCCGUUCAAAUCGUCUCCGCCGGAGCCGCCUCGCCCAACAAGGACAACAAGGAGAAAGGCAAGGACAACAAGGCGGACGCCGGCGAUAAGCCGGAGAAAGAGAAGAGCAAGGCAGCAGAAAAGGAGAAGGGCGGUGCCGGUGCCGGUGCUGAGAAAAAGGAGAAAAAAGUGGAAACCGCCGACAAGCCCAAGGAGGAGGAGAAGAAACCAAAGGAGCCCAAAGAGGAGACCGUGACGCUCAAGAUCAGGCUGCACUGCGACGGCUGCAUCGACCGCAUCAAGCGCCGCGUCAACAAGAUCAAAGGAGUGAAGGAAGUGACGGUGGACGCGGCCAAGGACCUGGUGAAGGUGACUGGCACCAUGGACGCAGCCGCCCUGCCGGGCUACCUCAGAGACAAGCUCAGUCGGCCUGUGGAGGUCGUCACCCCUGGCAAGAAGGACGGCGACAAGAAAGACGACGGCGAGAAGAAGAAGGACAAGGGAGCCGGCGACGGUGGCGAAAAGAAGAAGGACGGCGGUGGCGAGGACAAGAAGGACAAGUCCGCGGCGUCCGUGGCGCCGAUGCCCAUGGCGGACCCGAGCAUGUACCAGAUGCCCCCACAGUACGGCUACAUGCCGUACCCCCCGGCGCCCGUCGGCUACUACGGCGCGGCGCCGCCGCCGCCGAACCCGGGCUUCUACCCGAACGCCGGUCCCCAGUACCCGCCGCCCUACGCGACGUACCCCGCCCACGCGCCCCAGAUGUUCAGCGACGAGAACCCCAACGCCUGCUCCGUCAUGUGA